GAGUUUGAUCAUGGCUCAGAUUGAACGCUGGCGGCAUGCCUUACACAUGCAAGUCGAACGAUCCCUUCGGGGAUAGUGGCGCACGGGUGCGUAACGCGUGGGAACCUGCCCUUAGGUUCGGAAUAACUCAGAGAAAUUUGAGCUAAUACCGGAUAAUGUCUUCGGACCAAAGAUUUAUCGCCUUUGGAUGGGCCCGCGUUGGAUUAGCUAGUUGGUGGGGUAAAGGCCUACCAAGGCGACGAUCCAUAGCUGGUCUUAGAGGAUGAUCAGCCACACUGGGACUGAGACACGGCCCAGACUCCUACGGGAGGCAGCAGUGGGGAAUAUUGGACAAUGGGCGAAAGCCUGAUCCAGCAAUGCCGCGUGAGUGAUGAAGGCCCUAGGGUUGUAAAGCUCUUUUACCAGGGAUGAUAAAUGACAGUACCUGGAGAAUAAAGCUCCGGCUAACUCCGUGCCAGCCGCCGCAGUAAC
Molecule: ribosomal RNA, 471 nt
Filed under: uncultured Alphaproteobacteria bacterium
Lineage: Bacteria; Pseudomonadati; Pseudomonadota; Alphaproteobacteria
Description: bacterial SSU rRNA
Rfam family: Bacterial small subunit ribosomal RNA
Source: RNAcentral